This 1466-nucleotide ribosomal RNA is filed under the name uncultured Spirochaetota bacterium. RNAcentral's name for it is "bacterial SSU rRNA". It matches the Rfam family "Bacterial small subunit ribosomal RNA". Lineage: Bacteria; Pseudomonadati; Spirochaetota. The record is from RNAcentral.
AACGAACGCUGGCGGCGCGUCUUAAGCAUGCAAGUCGAGCGAGAAAGGGUAGCUUGCUAUCCUGGAAAGCGGCGGACUGGUGAGUAACGCGUGGGUGAUCUAGCCUUAAGUUGGGGAUAGCCUGUGGAAACACAGGGUAAUACCGGAUACGCUUAUAUUCUUGCGGGGAUAUAAGGAAAGGCGCUUCGGCGCCGCUUGGGGGUGGGCCCGCGUCAUAUUAGAUAGUUGGUGAGGUAAAGGCCCACCAAGUCGAAGAUAUGUAGCCGGACUGAGAGGUUGAACGGCCACAUUGGGACUGAGAUACGGCCCAAACUCCUACGGGAGGCAGCAGCUAAGAAUAUUCCGCAAUGCCCGGAAGGGUGACGGAGCGACGCCGCGUGGAUGAAGAAGGCCGAAAGGUUGUAAAAUUCUUUUAUUGCUGAAGAAUAAUGGGGGGAGGCAAUGCCCUUCUGAUGACGGUAAGCGAUGAAUAAGCCCCGGCUAAUUACGUGCCAGCAGCCGCGGUAACACGUAAGGGGCGAGCGUUGUUCGGAAUUAUUGGGCGUAAAGGGCGCGUAGGCGGUUAGGCAAGUCGGGCGUGAAAUGGCGGGGCUCAACCCCGUCACUGCGCUUGAAACUGCUUGACUUGAAUAACGGAGGUGCAACUGGAAUUCCGAGUGUAGGGGUGAAAUCUGUAGAUAUUCGGAAGAACACCGGUGGCGAAAGCGGGUUGCAAGCUGAUUAUUGACGCUGAGGCGCGAAAGUGCGGGGAGCGAACAGGAUUAGAUACCCUGGGUAGUCCGCACUAUAAACGAUGCACACUAGGUGUUGGGCCGUGCGGCUCAGUGCCGGAGCGAACGUGUUUAGUGUGCCGCCUGGGGAGUAUGCCCGCAAGGGUGAAACUCAAAGGAAUUGACGGGGGCCCGCACAAGCGGUGGAGCAUGUGGUUUAAUUCGAUGAUACGCGAGGAACCUUACCUGGGUUUGAAACGCAAGGAAAAGGCAAAGAGAUUUGCUGUGGGGGCGACCCCGUCUUGCACAGGUGCUGCAUGGCUGUCGUCAGCUCGUGCCGUGAGGUGUUGGGUUAAGUCCCGCAACGAGCGCAACCCCUACUGCCAGUUACCAUCACACAAUGGUGGGGACUCUGGCGGAACUGCUAGUAACAAACUAGAGGAAGGCGGGGAUGACGUCAAGUCAUCAUGGCCCUUAUGUCCAGGGCGACACACGUGCUACAAUGGCCGGUACAAAGCGAAGCGAUGCCGUGAGGCGAUAGCGAAGCGCAAAAAGCCGGCCGUAGUUCGGAUUGGAGUCUGAAACCCGACUCCAUGAAGUUGGAAUCGCUAGUAAUCGCACAUCAGCAUGGUGCGGUGAAUACGUUCCCGGGCCUUGUACACACCGCCCGUCACACCAUCCGAGUUGAGGAUACCCGAAGCCGUUAGUCUAACCGAAAGGGGGACGAUGUCGAAGGUAUGCUUAGUGAGGGGGGUG